Molecule: ribosomal RNA, 482 nt
Filed under: uncultured bacterium
Lineage: Bacteria
Description: SSU rRNA
Rfam family: Bacterial small subunit ribosomal RNA
Source: RNAcentral
AGGACGAACGCUGGCGGCGUGCUUAACACAUGCAAGUCGAACGGUAAGGCCCUUCGGGGUACACGAGUGGCGAACGGGUGAGUAACACGUGGGUGAUCUGCCCUGCACUUCGGGAUAAGCUUGGGAAACUGGGUCUAAUACCGGAUAUGACUACGAAUCGCAUGGUUUGUGGUGGAAAGCUUUUGCGGUGUGGGAUGGGCCCGCGGCCUAUCAGCUUGUUGGUGGGGUGAUGGCCUACCAAGGCGACGACGGGUAGCCGGCCUGAGAGGGUGUCCGGCCACACUGGGACUGAGAUACGGCCCAGACUCCUACGGGAGGCAGCAGUGGGGAAUAUUGCACAAUGGGCGCAAGCCUGAUGCAGCGACGCCGCGUGAGGGAUGACGGCCUUCGGGUUGUAAACCUCUUUCAGUAUCGACGAAGCGCAAGUGACGGUAGGUACAGAAGAACGGACCGGACCAACUACGCGCCAGCAGCCGCGGUAA